Molecule: ribosomal RNA, 294 nt
Filed under: uncultured bacterium
Lineage: Bacteria
Description: partial 16S ribosomal RNA
Rfam family: Bacterial small subunit ribosomal RNA
Source: RNAcentral
GGAUUAGAUACCCUGGUAGUCCACACUGUAAACGCUGUCUACUAGCUGUUUGUGUGAUUUAUCACGUGGGUAGCGCAGCUAACGCGAUAAGUAGACCGCCUGGGGAGUACGGCCGCAAGGUUAAAACUCAAAUGAAUUGACGGGGGCCCGCACAAGCGGUGGAGCAUGUGGUUUAAUUCGAUGCAACGCGAAGAACCUUACCAUCCCUUGACAUACUCAGAAGGUUGAAGAGAUUCGACUGUGCCUUCGGGAACUGAGAUACAGGUGCUGCAUGGCUGUCGUCAGCUCGUGCCG